UUCUUUUAUCUCAGGAGAACUAGAGAGAUAGCAGCUUGAGGAGGUCUCAGUCCAAUGUUUCUGGCCUUGAAGCUGGAGGAAUACAGCCAUAAGCCAAGGAGUGUGGGCCGCCUGUAGAAGCUAGCAAAGGACUCUUGGCUGUAACAAUUUCUCAGACUACUUGGGAAAUGAUCUGGACAGUUUUGAGGAAUACAGAUCAACUACACUGCAGGAAUACCAGACCACCUGACCUGCUUCUUGAGAAAUCUGUAUGCAGGUCAAGAAGCAACAGUUAGAACUGGACAUGGAACAACAGACUGGUUCCAAA
Bubalus bubalis (water buffalo) is the source of this 307-nucleotide long non-coding RNA. RefSeq lists it as uncharacterized. The transcript is spliced from 2 exons. The record is from RefSeq and is a predicted model, not a curated record. NCBI's taxonomy places the organism in Eukaryota, Metazoa, Chordata, Mammalia, Artiodactyla, Bovidae.